RNAcentral lists this non-coding RNA (481 nucleotides) under Capsicum annuum. RNAcentral describes it as "Eukaryotic small subunit ribosomal RNA". It matches the Rfam family "Eukaryotic small subunit ribosomal RNA", at positions 4 to 500 of the family's 1831-position model. Lineage: Eukaryota; Viridiplantae; Streptophyta; Magnoliopsida; Solanales; Solanaceae. The record is from Rfam by way of RNAcentral.
CUGGUUGAUCCUGCCAGUAGUCAUAUGUUUGUCUGAAAGAUUAAGCCAUGCAUUUGUAAGUAUGAACAAAUUCAGACUGUGAAACUGCGAAUGACUCAUUAAAUCAGUUAUAGUUUGUUUGAUGGUAUCUACUAUUCGUAUAACCGUAGUAAUUCCAGAGCUAACACGUGCAACAAAACUCGAAUUCUCGAAGGGAUGCAUCUAUUGGAUAAAAGGUCGACGCGGGCUUAGCCCAUUGCUGCGAUGAUUCAUGAUAACUCGACGAUUGCACGACCAUCAUGCCGGCAAUGCAUCAUUCAAAUGUCCUAUCAACUUUCGAUGGUAGGAUAGUGACCUACCAUGAUGGUGAUGGAGUUUGAUUUCGGAGAAAGAGCCUUAGAAACGACUGUCAUAUUUAAGGAAAAGGCAACAGACGUUCAAAUUAUCUAAUCAUUUAUAUAUUUAGGUGCUCAUAUAAAAAUCUCAAGGCUAAUAAUACAAU